This 253-nucleotide unclassified non-coding RNA is filed under the name uncultured Bacteroidota bacterium. RNAcentral describes it as "uncultured Bacteroidetes bacterium contains 16S-23S intergenic spacer region". It matches the Rfam family "Bacterial small subunit ribosomal RNA", at positions 524 to 776 of the family's 1533-position model. The record is from RNAcentral. Lineage: Bacteria; Pseudomonadati; Bacteroidota.
UACGGAGGGUGCAAGCGUUGUCCGGAAUCAUUGGGUGUAAAGGGUGCGUAGGCGGAAGCCUAAGUCGGAGGUGAAAUCUUGCCGCUCAACGGUAAAAUGGCCUUCGAUACUGGGUUUCUUGAGUUCGGAAGAGGUUGGUGGAAUUCGUGGUGUAGCGGUGAAAUGCAUAGAGAUCACGAAGAACAUCGGUGGCGAAGGCGGCCAACUGGUCCGAUACUGAUGCUGAGGCACGAGAGCAUGGGGAGCAAACAGG